UUAGUUUAUAUUUAUUAAUUGAAUUUUAACUAUUUUUAAAAUUUAAAUAUAUUAAAAGUAUUUAUAAUAAUUAAUUUUUUAGUAUUGUUAAGAAAUAAUAAUUUUAAUAAUAGAGUAAUAGUAUUGUGAAAGAAAAUUGAAAUAAAUGAAAAAUUAAUAUAUUAAUAGAAAUAUUAGUUUUUUGUACCUUGUGUAUCAGGGUUUAUCAAAUAAAAAAUAUAAUUAAUAUUUUUCUCGAUUUUAAAAGAUUUAAUAUAUUAUAAAAGUUAAUGUAAUAAAAUUAUUUUAAAUAAUAUAUUAGAAAUGAAAUGUUAUUCGUUUUUAAAGGUAUCUAGUUUUUGAAGAAAUAAAUUUAAUUUACAAUUAUAAAUUUAUUUAAUUGUUUUUUUAAUUAAAUAAUUUAUGAAUUGAAUAUUUUACGGGAUAAGCUGUAAAAUAAAAUUUUAUAAAUAAUAAAUAAAUUAAAAAAAAUAUAUGCUUAUAAUUAGCAAUUGUUAGUAAGUUUGUUAUAAAUUAUUUUAUUUUUAUAAUUAUUUAUUGAAUUUUAAAUUUUUAUUCAAAUAUUUAUUUUAAUUAAUAAGAUAAAUAAAAAAUGAUAAAAUUAGUAUAUUUAUUGUAAAGAUAAUUUUAAAUGAUAAGUUAGUAUAAAGAAUUCGGCAAAAUUUUAAUGUUCGCCUGUUUAACAAAAACAUGUCUUAUUGAAUUUUAUUUUAAGUCUAACCUGCCCACUGAAAAUUUAAAUGGCCGCAGUAUUUUGACUGUGCAAAGGUAGCAUAAUCAUUAGUCUUUUAAUUGAAGGCUUGUAUGAAUGGUUGGACGAAAUAUUAACUGUUUCAUAUUAAUUUUUAGUAGAAUUUUAUUUUUUAGUUAAAAAGCUAAAAUUUAAUUAAAAGACGAGAAGACCCUAUAAAUCUUUAUAUUUAUUAUAUUAUUAAUUUGAAAGAUUAGUUAUGUUAUUAUUAUAAUAAAUAUUUUAUUGGGGUGAUAUUAAAAUUUAAAUAACUUUUAAUUUUUAUAACAUAAAUUUAUGGAUUGUUGAUCUUAUAUUAUGGAUUAUUAGAAUAAGUUACUUUAGGGAUAACAGCGUAAUUUUUUUGGAGAGUUCAUAUCGAUAAAAAAGAUUGCGACCUCGAUGUUGGAUUAAGAUAAAGUUUUGGGUGUAGAAGCUUAAAUUUUUAGUCUGUUCGACUUUUAAAUUCUUACAUGAUCUGAGUUCAAACCGGUGUAAGCCAGGUUGGUUUCUAUCUUUAAUAAGUUAAUAUAUUUUAGUACGAAAGGACCAAAUAUAUAAAUUAAUAAUUUUUAAAUAAGAAUAUAAUUAAUUA
RNAcentral lists this ribosomal RNA (1325 nucleotides) under Ilythea japonica. RNAcentral describes it as "16S ribosomal RNA". The stretch from base 1077 to 1236 matches the Rfam family "Archaeal large subunit ribosomal RNA", at positions 2544 to 2703 of the family's 2987-position model. The record is from RNAcentral. Lineage: Eukaryota; Metazoa; Arthropoda; Insecta; Diptera; Ephydridae.